Molecule: ribosomal RNA, 301 nt
Filed under: uncultured bacterium
Lineage: Bacteria
Description: partial 16S ribosomal RNA
Rfam family: Bacterial small subunit ribosomal RNA
Source: RNAcentral
CAGUCGCCGCGGUAAUACGAAGGGUGCAAGCGUUAAUCGGAAUUACUGGGCGUAAAGCGUGCGUAGGCGGUUUGUUAAGUCUGUUGUGAAAUCCCCGGGCUCAACCUGGGAAUGGCAAUGGAUACUGGCAGGCUAGAGUGUGAUAGAGGAUGGUGGAAUUCCCGGUGUAGCGGUGAAAUGCGUAGAGAUCGGGAGGAACAUCAGUGGCGAAGGCGGCCAUCUGGAUCAACACUGACGCUGAGGCACGAAAGCGUGGGGAGCAAACAGGAUUAGAUACCCCUGUAGUCCCUGUCUCUUAUAA